Long non-coding RNA from Ailuropoda melanoleuca (giant panda), 434 nucleotides. RefSeq lists it as uncharacterized. The transcript has 5 exons. The record is from RefSeq and is a predicted model, not a curated record. NCBI's taxonomy places the organism in Eukaryota, Metazoa, Chordata, Mammalia, Carnivora, Ursidae.
CGUCCGUGCGCUCGGGUCUCCAAGACCUUGCAACUCCAUCCACCAGCCGAGGGCUUUGGCUUCCCGUGCGCCCCCUCGCCCCGCGCUCCUCUCGCCUCCUCCCAGCCGCUCGGGCCUUGACCUACUAUCAUCCUCAGAAAUUCCUGUUAGGAGAAAAAAAAAUGAAGAUUGGGGCAGAGGGGGUGCCAGUAGGUGCUUAUUAGAAGAUAGGAGAUGUCUUCUUUAAUGCUUAUGGGAAUUCCAGAUGAAUGUUCUUCUUAGUUGGAUUCGGAUGAAGUGCUAUGUUCCAGAACAAUGAAUGUCUUGUCAGUCCAAGGAAGUAAUUUGCACUGGCGAGGAUGUGAUCAUACCUGAUAUAUAGUUUUACAUUUCCCAAAAGGAAGCGAGACUUUCUACGCCAGACGGUUACAGUUGGAAGUUAUCUUGGAGAGCAU